RNAcentral lists this ribosomal RNA (2905 nucleotides) under Escherichia coli. RNAcentral's name for it is "23S ribosomal RNA". It matches the Rfam family "Bacterial large subunit ribosomal RNA". The record is from RNAcentral. RNAcentral also lists the same sequence under 1 other name. Lineage: Bacteria; Pseudomonadati; Pseudomonadota; Gammaproteobacteria; Enterobacterales; Enterobacteriaceae.
GGUUAAGCGACUAAGCGUACACGGUGGAUGCCCUGGCAGUCAGAGGCGAUGAAGGACGUGCUAAUCUGCGAUAAGCGUCGGUAAGGUGAUAUGAACCGUUAUAACCGGCGAUUUCCGAAUGGGGAAACCCAGUGUGAUUCGUCACACUAUCAUUAACUGAAUCCAUAGGUUAAUGAGGCGAACCGGGGGAACUGAAACAUCUAAGUACCCCGAGGAAAAGAAAUCAACCGAGAUUCCCCCAGUAGCGGCGAGCGAACGGGGAGCAGCCCAGAGCCUGAAUCAGUGUGUGUGUUAGUGGAAGCGUCUGGAAAGGCGCGCGAUACAGGGUGACAGCCCCGUACACAAAAAUGCACAUACUGUGAGCUCGAUGAGUAGGGCGGGACACGUGGUAUCCUGUCUGAAUAUGGGGGGACCAUCCUCCAAGGCUAAAUACUCCUGACUGACCGAUAGUGAACCAGUACCGUGAGGGAAAGGCGAAAAGAACCCCGGCGAGGGGAGUGAAAAAGAACCUGAAACCGUGUACGUACAAGCAGUGGGAGCACAGAGCAAUCUGUGUGACUGCGUACCUUUUGUAUAAUGGGUCAGCGACUUAUAUUCUGUAGCAAGGUUAACCGAAUAGGGGAGCCGAAGGGAAACCGAGUCUUAACUGGGCGUUAAGUUGCAGGGUAUAGACCCGAAACCCGGUGAUCUAGCCAUGGGCAGGUUGAAGGUUGGGUAACACUAACUGGAGGACCGAACCGACUAAUGUUGAAAAAUUAGCGGAUGACUUGUGGCUGGGGGUGAAAGGCCAAUCAAACCGGGAGAUAGCUGGUUCUCCCCGAAAGCUAUUUAGGUAGCGCCUCGUGAAUUCAUCUCCGGGGGUAGAGCACUGUUUCGGCAAGGGGGUCAUCCCGACUUACCAACCCGAUGCAAACUGCGAAUACCGGAGAAUGUUAUCACGGGAGACACACGGCGGGUGCUAACGUCCGUCGUGAAGAGGGAAACAACCCAGACCGCCAGCUAAGGUCCCAAAGUCAUGGUUAAGUGGGAAACGAUGUGGGAAGGCCCAGACAGCCAGGAUGUUGGCUUAGAAGCAGCCAUCAUUUAAAGAAAGCGUAAUAGCUCACUGGUCGAGUCGGCCUGCGCGGAAGAUGUAACGGGGCUAAACCAUGCACCGAAGCUGCGGCAGCGACACUGUGUGUUGUUGGGUAGGGGAGCGUUCUGUAAGCCUGUGAAGGUGUGCUGUGAGGCAUGCUGGAGGUAUCAGAAGUGCGAAUGCUGACAUAAGUAACGAUAAAGCGGGUGAAAAGCCCGCUCGCCGGAAGACCAAGGGUUCCUGUCCAACGUUAAUCGGGGCAGGGUGAGUCGACCCCUAAGGCGAGGCCGAAAGGCGUAGUCGAUGGGAAACAGGUUAAUAUUCCUGUACUUGGUGUUACUGCGAAGGGGGGACGGAGAAGGCUAUGUUGGCCGGGCGACGGUUGUCCCGGUUUAAGCGUGUAGGCUGGUUUUCCAGGCAAAUCCGGAAAAUCAAGGCUGAGGCGUGAUGACGAGGCACUACGGUGCUGAAGCAACAAAUGCCCUGCUUCCAGGAAAAGCCUCUAAGCAUCAGGUAACAUCAAAUCGUACCCCAAACCGACACAGGUGGUCAGGUAGAGAAUACCAAGGCGCUUGAGAGAACUCGGGUGAAGGAACUAGGCAAAAUGGUGCCGUAACUUCGGGAGAAGGCACGCUGAUAUGUAGGUGAAGUCCCUCGCGGAUGGAGCUGAAAUCAGUCGAAGAUACCAGCUGGCUGCAACUGUUUAUUAAAAACACAGCACUGUGCAAACACGAAAGUGGACGUAUACGGUGUGACGCCUGCCCGGUGCCGGAAGGUUAAUUGAUGGGGUCAGCGCAAGCGAAGCUCUUGAUCGAAGCCCCGGUAAACGGCGGCCGUAACUAUAACGGUCCUAAGGUAGCGAAAUUCCUUGUCGGGUAAGUUCCGACCUGCACGAAUGGCGUAAUGAUGGCCAGGCUGUCUCCACCCGAGACUCAGUGAAAUUGAACUCGCUGUGAAGAUGCAGUGUACCCGCGGCAAGACGGAAAGACCCCGUGAACCUUUACUAUAGCUUGACACUGAACAUUGAGCCUUGAUGUGUAGGAUAGGUGGGAGGCUUUGAAGUGUGGACGCCAGUCUGCAUGGAGCCGACCUUGAAAUACCACCCUUUAAUGUUUGAUGUUCUAACGUGGACCCGUGAUCCGGGUUGCGGACAGUGUCUGGUGGGUAGUUUGACUGGGGCGGUCUCCUCCUAAAGAGUAACGGAGGAGCACGAAGGUUGGCUAAUCCUGGUCGGACAUCAGGAGGUUAGUGCAAUGGCAUAAGCCAGCUUGACUGCGAGCGUGACGGCGCGAGCAGGUGCGAAAGCAGGUCAUAGUGAUCCGGUGGUUCUGAAUGGAAGGGCCAUCGCUCAACGGAUAAAAGGUACUCCGGGGAUAACAGGCUGAUACCGCCCAAGAGUUCAUAUCGACGGCGGUGUUUGGCACCUCGAUGUCGGCUCAUCACAUCCUGGGGCUGAAGUAGGUCCCAAGGGUAUGGCUGUUCGCCAUUUAAAGUGGUACGCGAGCUGGGUUUAGAACGUCGUGAGACAGUUCGGUCCCUAUCUGCCGUGGGCGCUGGAGAACUGAGGGGGGCUGCUCCUAGUACGAGAGGACCGGAGUGGACGCAUCACUGGUGUUCGGGUUGUCAUGCCAAUGGCACUGCCCGGUAGCUAAAUGCGGAAGAGAUAAGUGCUGAAAGCAUCUAAGCACGAAACUUGCCCCGAGAUGAGUUCUCCCUGACCCUUUAAGGGUCCUGAAGGAACGUUGAAGACGACGACGUUGAUAGGCCGGGUGUGUAAGCGCAGCGAUGCGUUGAGCUAACCGGUACUAAUGAACCGUGAGGCUUAACCUU